Long non-coding RNA from Herpailurus yagouaroundi (jaguarundi), 1146 nucleotides. RefSeq lists it as uncharacterized. NCBI's taxonomy places the organism in Eukaryota, Metazoa, Chordata, Mammalia, Carnivora, Felidae. The record is from RefSeq and is a predicted model, not a curated record. The transcript is spliced from 3 exons.
UUUGCGCAGUCCCGCCCUUGCACAAUGAUUAUUGGCUGAUACAGUCUCAGUCAGUAUGCAAUGCGACGGGAUUGGUAACAACUCGAUACGUCCGGUCGCCCGACCCGGGGGAGCUUUAUUCGUCUGAGUAACUGCCAAUCAUAAGCAAAGGCCAUAAGCAAUUGGCUCGGGACUACACAGGCCUCGCCUACUACAAGUCCCCUUUCUUUCCUUCACUUCCCCUUUCAGAGAAUGUCCGGAUUCCUAUUGGACUUUGGAGCUUAGGGCUCCAAAGCCCUUGAUUGGCUGGAACUCGAUGGAAAAUGGUGGUUAAGGAAAGUGCGCAUGAGCUGCAGGCGGCGGGAAGAGGUGGGCCAAUCCUGUGAAGGUUAAGCCUUCUCUGGUCCCACCCCUUCACCUUAGCUUGUCGCCAUGGUGACUGCUCUACGAUUGGCGGGGUUUGAGGUUCAAAGACUUUGGCUCGGCCUCAUCCGGGGCCUCCGGCUGUGGUCUCUCCAGGCUGAUUGGGCCGUUUCUUUCACCUCUGAUUGGCCGAGAUCGGAAAAGACGGCGAAGAGCUCGGCAAGAGAGCAAGUACUAGGGUCUCAGGGUUCAAAAUGGCUCCGGCCUCCUUCGGUGACGUAGAGAGCAGAGCUUGGCUUCGCCCCUCCCUUUUAGUGAAGAAGGGAGCAGAACUGGGAUCAGCUCGACGUUUGGAUUGUGCGAACGCAUAUUUGCGGAGCUGGUGUUAGCCCAUCUCCCUCGGCUGGAGGACUCAGCCCGCUCCUCCUUAGGGCGAAGGUGUGUCUGGCAGCGGGGACAGACACAGGCUGAGGGCAGUACAGCAACACCCAGAUAAAAGGUCCCACGUGACUCAAGUGAGGCAUGGAAGAGGAGACCUGAUGAAGAAGGAAUGGGCAAAGGAAGGAAUACAGCACCAAGGGACACACAAGCCGUGUGUGCUGAAAGGGAAUUGGAGGAAAAAAAGGAUGCAGCUGGAGCCAGAGAAGGCCAGAGGCGGAGGCAGAGCCCAGCGGGGCGCUCGCGGGGCGGAGCUACCAAGAGCCCACUGGUCGAUGCGGCGAAAAGAUGCGUGGGUCCCUGGGAGUCGAUUGGCAAAACAGGCCGCCCAUCACCGCCCUCUACUUCCUGGCCAGCCCCGGAAAC